This 516-nucleotide ribosomal RNA is filed under the name uncultured bacterium. RNAcentral describes it as "bacterial SSU rRNA". It matches the Rfam family "Bacterial small subunit ribosomal RNA", at positions 382 to 916 of the family's 1533-position model. The record is from RNAcentral.
CCUGAUCCAGCCGUGCCGCGUGAGUGAAGAAGGCCCUAGGGUCGUAAAACUCUUUCGCCUGUGAUGAUAAUGACAGUAGCAGGUAAAGAAACCCCGGCUAACUCCGUGCCAGCAGCCGCGGUAAUACGGUGGGGGUUAGCGUUGUUCAGAAUUACUGGGCGUAAAGCGCACGUAGGCGGAUUAGAAAGUUAGAGGUGAAAUCCCGGGGCUCAACCCCGGAACUGCCUUUAAAACUACUAGUCUAGAGUUCGAGAGAGGUGAGUGGAAUUCCGAGUGUAGAGGUGAAAUUCGUAGAUAUUCGGAGGAACACCAGUGGCGAAGGCGGCUCACUGGCUCGAUACUGACGCUGAGGUGCGAAAGUGUGGGGAGCAAACAGGAUUAGAUACCCUGGUAGUCCACACCGUAAACGAUGAAUGCCAGUCGUCGGGUAGUAUACUAUUCGGUGACACACCUAACGGAUUAAGCAUUCCGCCUGGGGAGUACGGUCGCAAGAUUAAAACUCAAAUGAAUUGACGG